CUCAAGGAUGGAUCUGCGGCCUAUCAGGUAGUAGUGGGUGUAGCGUACCUACUAGCUUACGACGGGUACGGGUUGUGAGAGCAAGAGCCCGGAGAUGGAUUCUGAGACACGAAUCCAGGCCCUACGGGGUGCAGCAGGCGCGAAAACUUUACAAUGCUGGAAACAGCGAUAAGGGGACCUCGAGUGCCAGGUUACAAAUCUGGCUGUCGUGAUGCCUAAAAAGCAUUGCAUAGCAAGGGCCGGGCAAGACCGGUGCCAGCCGCCGCGGUAACACCGGCGGCUCGAGUGGUAACCGUUAUUAUUGGGUCUAAAGGGUCUGUAGCCGGCCGGAUAAGUCUCUUGGGAAAUCUGGCAGCUUAACUGUCAGGCUUUCAGGAGAUACUGUCUGGCUCGAGGCCGGGAGAGGUGAGAGGUACUUCAGGGGUAGGGGUGAAAUCUUGUAAUCCUUGAAGGACCACCAGUGGCGAAGGCGUCUCACCAGAACGGACCUGACGGCAAGGGACGAAAGCUAGGGGCACGAACCGGAUUAGAUACCCGGGUAGUCCUAGCCGUAAACGAUACUCGCUAGGUGUCGGCAACGGUGCGACCGUUGUCGGUGCCGUAGGGAAGCCGUGAAGCGAGCCACCUGGGAAGUACGGCCGCAGGGCUGAAACUUAAAGGAAUUGGCGGGGGAGCAC
RNAcentral lists this ribosomal RNA (677 nucleotides) under uncultured Methanosaeta sp. Its description in RNAcentral is "bacterial SSU rRNA". It matches the Rfam family "Archaeal small subunit ribosomal RNA", at positions 202 to 879 of the family's 1478-position model. Lineage: Archaea; Methanobacteriati; Methanobacteriota; Methanomicrobia; Methanotrichales; Methanotrichaceae. The record is from RNAcentral.